AAUGGGCAAGGGCCGGGCCGUCACCCCCCAAGUGGCGUGCCGUAUCUUGAUCCGGAUACGGUGGCAAGUGAGCGAGGAUCGGGUCGUCGCAUCCUUAGUGGCGCGCUACAUCGGCGCCCGGAUGUAGUGGAAAAUGAGCAAGGGUCUUCGCAUUUGACUCGACGAGUGCGAAGGGUAAGGAAGCUAGCCGAGCCUAGGAGGAUUCGCUUAGGUAGCUGGAACGUAGGGUCUCUGACAGGGAAGCUUCGGGAGCUAGUUGAUGCAGCAGUGAGGAGAGGUGUUGAUAUCCUUUGCGUCCAAGAAACCAAAGGGAGAGGACAGAAGGCGAAGGAGGUGGAGGAUACCGGCUUCAAGCUGUGGUACACGGGGACGGCUGCAAACAGAAAUGGCAUAGGCAUCUUGAUCAACAAGAGCCUCAAGUAUGGAGUGGUAGACGUCAGGAGACGUGGGGACCGGAUUAUCCUGGUCAAGCUGGUAGCUGAGGACUUGGUUCUCAAUGUUAUCAGCGCAUAUGCCCCGCAAGUAGGCCACAAUGAGAACACCAAGAGGGAGUUCUGGGAAGGCUUGGAAGACAUGGUUAGGAGUGUACCGAUUGGUGAGAAGCUCUUCAUAGGAGGAGACCUCAAUGGCCAUGUCGGUACAUCUAACACAGGUUUUGAAGGGGCGCAUGGGGGCUUUGGCUAUGGCAUCAGGAAUCAAGAA
This 702-nucleotide ribosomal RNA is filed under the name Triticum aestivum (bread wheat). Its description in RNAcentral is "partial small subunit ribosomal RNA". Lineage: Eukaryota; Viridiplantae; Streptophyta; Magnoliopsida; Poales; Poaceae. The record is from RNAcentral.